This 793-nucleotide ribosomal RNA is filed under the name uncultured bacterium. RNAcentral describes it as "bacterial SSU rRNA". It matches the Rfam family "Bacterial small subunit ribosomal RNA", at positions 8 to 796 of the family's 1533-position model. The record is from RNAcentral.
AGAGUUUGAUCCUGGCUCAGAUUGAACGCUGGCGGCAUGCCUUACACAUGCAAGUCGAGCGGCAGCGGGGGGCAACCCUGGCGGCGAGCGGCGCACGGGUAAGUAAUGCAUCGGAACGUGUCCUCUUGUGGGGGAUAACCAGUCGAAAGACUGGCUAAUACCGCAUGAGCACGAGAGUGGAAAGCAGGGGAUCCGCAGGGACCUUGCGCGAGAGGAGCGGCCGAUGCCGGAUUAGCUAGUUGGUGGGGUAAUGGCCUACCAAGGCGACGAUCCGUAGCUGGUUUGAGAGAACGACCAGCCACACUGGGACUGAGACACGGCCCAGACUCCUACGGGAGGCAGCAGUGGGGAAUUUUGGACAAUGGGGGCAACCCUGAUCCAGCCAUGCCGCGUGUGUGAAGAAGGCCUUCGGGUUGUAAAGCACUUUCGGCCGGAACGAAAUCGCGCGGGUGAAUAACACGCGUGGAUGACGGUACCGGAAGAAGAAGCACCGGCUAACUACGUGCCAGCAGCCGCGGUAAUACGUAGGGUGCGAGCGUUAAUCGGAAUUACUAGGCGUAAAGUGUGCGCAGCGGCCGCGCAAGUCGAGUGUGAAAGCCCCGAGCUUAACUUGGGAACUGCGCUCGAAACUACGUGGCUGGAGUGUGGCAGAGGAAGGUGGAAUUCCACGUGUAGCGGUGAAAUGCGUAGAGAUGUGGAGGAACACCGAUGGCGAAGGCAGCCUUCUGGGCCAACACUGACGCUCAUGCACGAAAGCGUGGGGAGCAAACAGGAUUAGAUACCCUAGUAGUCC